UUCUCCAUAGCUCAGUUGGCUAGAGCGUCUGACUGUUAGGCCUGUUCAACAGGCAAAGCAUAUCAGGAGGUCCACAGUUCAAGCCUGUGUGGGGAAG
This is a non-coding RNA of Coniochaeta sp. 2T2.1, 97 nucleotides long. The record is from the annotation of a GenBank genome assembly. Lineage: Eukaryota; Fungi; Ascomycota; Sordariomycetes; Coniochaetales; Coniochaetaceae.